UCUUAGCCGCCGUGAGGGGCUACCGAUGUUGAGAGAAAGGAGGAGGCGAAGGGAGGUUUCGCUUGGUUUUAAGUUGGGCUCCUUAGGGAUUUCUUCGCUUGGACUGGCUAUUAGGAUCGCGUCUUUCGAGUCGCGGCUCUUCGCUUUGGGCUUAGCUUCGUCACGCGCUACCCUUAGGGUUAGGCUAGGGAGGAGCAGCGGAGAGAGCAGGACUCAAGCUAGCGGGACGUACAGCGCCGGUUUUGGAACCUAGGGAUGUUCCAAGAACCCCAACUGUUCUUACGGUCGGUUUCCCUAUAAUUCUUUCGAAAAGUGUUCGAAAGCGAUUUUAUAGUAGGACUGUUCUUAUUUCUCUUCCCACGUGUCGUCUUUAAACUUCUCUAUUUAUUACGCGUACUUUAAAACAGUCUACUUCUCUUCUCCUUUUUGAUACUAGAGAUGCCACUACUCUUCCCAUUGGGUCCAUACCCACGACCUUUAAAACCCUCGGUACUGAAGUGACCACCACCGGGGUCCUGAUGGAUAAAGAGUAGGCCACUACCUACCGUCUGUUACCCACCAGUCCCUUUAAGUUUUUGUAAGAGGAAGAGCAAACCACCGUUGGGACCCCGACCGCCUCCUUUAGGCAAACCGAAACUAGAACCACUACAAAAGAGGUUGUACAAACGACCACCUAGUUACCCACCAUCGGUCGUACCACCUAAACGACCAAGACCAUCUGGGUCGCGCUCUUGAAGGUCAGUCGUAUGUUUGGGACAGUGGUAAGUCCUCCAAUGCUACGUUUGUAAGUUGUUUCUUUAUCGACUGGUUCCUUAUUGAACCGAAGACGAUAAGAUAUGUGUUGUUCGUUUUCCAGUUAAACACGAACUUUCACAAGACCUCCUACACCGAGCAAGCAACCUACCACGUCACUCCCGACCGUUCCAUUUAACACUAUUACUUUUCCGGGAAACGUUCUUUUUGCCCCAAAGUCAUCCUUUUAGGCGAGCAGAGAAGUAAAUAAGCAUGUCGUGACGUCUCUUUCCCAGAAACGUACUCAUGAGACCUCUAUCACUACGAUUCUCGGACUUCUGUAAGACAGUUCUUGUGGACGGCUCUAAGAGGUCUGCCCAACUGUAAUGGGUUAAGUUAAAGGGAAGGUCACGGAACGGUUUGGAAGGACUUCACGAAAACGACAGUUGUUUCUUCCUAUGUGGUCGCUACACCGCUCGUCAGUCACCCUACAAGGUGUCAGCAAACUAUAAGAUACUACGUCUCCAAGUCCUACAAAGGGAAGGUGACGAGUUUGCGGAACCGCACUUCUUACAAGGUCGCGAACAACCAGCUUGCCAAUUGCCACUCCACGUUGAAGACUUCCUACCAUAAAGUCACUUUCUAGAGGUUAGACCAUAGUUCCUUAACUUCUGAGACGAUCUUUCAAAACUCUUCUUCUUGUUCUUCGAUCGUAGCCUUGUCCGAUUCUUUGGACGGUUCCGUUCACUUGGCUUCCUUUUGUUUUAGGGAGAGGAGUGGCGGAGUUUAAAGCUCCUUUGGACACCUCUCUUCCGAGGUCAUACGUAGUAACCACAAAAGUUCAGGUUGUUUCGGUUCCUUUUCGACCUCUCGUAGGACAGACUCUAUAGAGUCUUCUGAGACUAGUCCCCAGUCUCGAUGUUGAGACCUUUGCGUUAGUGGAUGCGGAACAACCUGCCGUUGUUUGUUAGACGCAAGGACAGGAGCAAGCUGUUCAGGCCUAUGUUCAGCAGGCUAUUCGAGGAAUAGCGCAUGUUCGGAGCGGCCCCCUCCAAGCGACACAUAUUCCCACUCCACAGUUACCUUCUUCGACUUUCCAAACACCAAAGGCAGGACUUACCUCUACACGUCAACAGCCGUUGACCUCUCUUCGGUCAAGAAUCCAUCUUCUUCCGAUCCCAACGUUGAGCGUUCGUAACAAAAGAGCUUUACCAACGUUCAUUAAAUCAGAAAUCCCCUACAUCACACACUAGACUCUCCCGGACAUGUAUCAACUUAGUUAGUUCUCUCAUUUUACAUUUGACAGCUGAGUCUAAACACCUGACCCAAUGCCCUUAUGUAUGACUGUACAAUGAUACAUAUGUACACGUAUCAAGAGACCGAAGAAAUAAAAUCCCUUUAAAGAGACC
RNAcentral lists this ribosomal RNA (2141 nucleotides) under Triticum aestivum (bread wheat). RNAcentral describes it as "partial small subunit ribosomal RNA". Lineage: Eukaryota; Viridiplantae; Streptophyta; Magnoliopsida; Poales; Poaceae. The record is from RNAcentral.